CCUACGGGAGGCAGCAGUGAGGAAUAUUGGUCAAUGGGCGGGAGCCUGAACCAGCCAAGUCGCGUGAGGGAAGACGGUCCUAUGGAUUGUAAACCUCUUUAGGCGGGGAGCAAUGCCGGGCACGCGUGCCCGGAGGGAGAGUACCCGCAGAAUAAGCAUCGGCUAACUACGUGCCAGCAGCCGCGGUAAUACGGAGGAUGCGAGCGUUAUCCGGAUUUAUUGGGUUUAAAGGGUGUGUAGGCGGAUUUUUAAGUCAGCGGGAAAAUGUCGGGGCUCAACCCGGGCCGGCCGUUGAAACUGGGGAUCUUGAGUGGGCGAGAAGUAUGCGGAAUGCGUGGUGUAGCGGUGAAAUGCAUAGAUAUCACGCAGAACUCCGAUUGCGAAGGCAGCAUACCGGCGCCCGACUGACGCUGAGGCACGAAAGCGUGGGGAUCGAACAGGAUUAGAUACCCGUGUAGUC
This 460-nucleotide ribosomal RNA is filed under the name uncultured bacterium. Its description in RNAcentral is "partial 16S ribosomal RNA". It matches the Rfam family "Bacterial small subunit ribosomal RNA", at positions 338 to 795 of the family's 1533-position model. The record is from RNAcentral.